GCAAAAANGAAAGCAGCUUCGGCUGGGAGUACUUGGCGCAAGGGUGAGUAACGUAUAGGUAAUCUGCCCUUUGGACUGGAAUAACCCCGAGAAAUCGGGGACAAUACCAGAUGAAGCAGCGACAAUCGCAUGGUUGUUCUGCCAAAGAUUUAUCGCCAAAGGAUGAACCUAUAUCCCAUCAGGUAGUUGGUAAGGUAACGGCUUACCAAGCCUACGACGGGUAGCUGGUCUGAGAGGAUGAUCAGCCACAUUGGAACUGAGACACGGUCCAGACUCCUACGGGAGGCAGCAGUGAGGAAUAUUCGCAAU
RNAcentral lists this ribosomal RNA (309 nucleotides) under Chlorobium sp. JAGS181. RNAcentral's name for it is "bacterial SSU rRNA". It matches the Rfam family "Bacterial small subunit ribosomal RNA", at positions 62 to 372 of the family's 1533-position model. The record is from RNAcentral. Lineage: Bacteria; Pseudomonadati; Chlorobiota; Chlorobiia; Chlorobiales; Chlorobiaceae.